Priapulus caudatus is the source of this 1075-nucleotide long non-coding RNA. RefSeq lists it as uncharacterized. The transcript has 2 exons. NCBI's taxonomy places the organism in Eukaryota, Metazoa, Priapulida, Priapulimorpha, Priapulimorphida, Priapulidae. The record is from RefSeq and is a predicted model, not a curated record.
GCCACUGACUGUCUGGUGAAGCGCCUUCAACCGAUGCUGUAUAAAUACAAAGUGAAUGCCUACCUAGCGGCCACGAUCACAACAUACAGCACUUGGAGUAUUCGCAACGAAACUGGACCGUAAACUACUUCAUCAGUGGAUCGGCAAACUUCGUGGAAGACAACACAACGCACAGGGACAGCGUGCCUCCGGGUUCGUCAAAGUUCUACUGGGCCGACCAGCUGAGUCUCGGUGGAUUCGGAUAUGCCGAGGUCACGCCACAGAACCUUGCGCUGACAUUUGUGCGAUCGAGUGGCCACGUGCUCUACCAGAAGAGCCUUAAGCCUCGCUCUCUGUGAUCGGCUGCUUCAAAUAGAGUAUUUGAUCUUAUUUGUUUUUACUCGUUUAGAUCGUAUUUGUUUGACACACAUUUUAAUUGAUCGCGUGUGAUUCGAUGCAGGGUCAUGCAUUCUUGUUAUGAUAGGAGAAAUCAAAGUGGCUUCACUUAGAAAUCUUAUUAUUAUUAUUAUUAAAUCUUUAUUGCAUGUAAUUCAAAUACAAAUAGAUGUACUUGGCAGAAAUACAUAAAUCUUAGGUGGACUAGACAUUGAACAUCAUACCUGAGGCUUCUGUUUGAGUAGGGAUUUGUGAGAAAGAUUUUGUCAGUGUGAUUGAAGAGCCAAACUUUCUUUCUUUGUUUGGGGCUAUAUCAAAGAAAGAUAGGACCCAUUGUUUGUGUAUUACCAAUGUAGGGUCAGACUCAUAUUGUACAAACUCAUGUAUAUUCAUAUUUCAUAGAGAUCAUCUUGAAGGGAAGCAUGUCAUGUGACAGAUUUUUAAAUUUUUGUAUGUAAAAGCAAUUUAGAAUGGUUCAGUGAUCUGAGGAGAGACCCUUUUAGUGUCAUGACUUUACUGAAUUAUUUAUGAACUUUCUACUCACAGUAGGUGAACGGUGAUCUUUUGACCUGUAAUUUAUAGAUAACUGUGAGUCUCGAUUGCUGUAGCAAAUGAGUGGGAAAACGUUGAGGUAGAGAAGGCUUAUCUGUGAUCUGUGUAAAAUUUCUGACUAUAAAAAUGUUAUUUCAAUAUCACAAUC